Molecule: ribosomal RNA, 301 nt
Filed under: uncultured bacterium
Lineage: Bacteria
Description: partial 16S ribosomal RNA
Rfam family: Bacterial small subunit ribosomal RNA
Source: RNAcentral
CAGUCGCCACGGUAAUACGAAGGGUGCAAGCGUUAAUCGGAAUUACUGGGCGUAAAGCGUGCGUGGGCGGUUUGUUAAGUCAGAUGUGAAAUCCCCGAGCUUAACUUGGGAACUGCAUUUGAAACUGGCAAGCUAGAGUCUUGUAGAGGGGGGUAGAAUUCCAGGUGUAGCGGUGAAAUGCGUAGAGAUCUGGAGGAAUACCGGUGGCGAAGGCGGCCCCCUGGACAAAGACUGGCGCUCAGGUGCGAAAGCGUGGGGAGCAAACAGGAUUAGAUACCCCUGUAGUCCCUGUCUCUUAUAC